AAAAUAGCGAUGAAUAAGAUUAGUAAAUGGAAAACGGCGAAAGAGAGUGAAGCUCAGCGGCUGAAAGGCUUCACAGUCCACUUGACCAUUGAACCUGCCUUAUGAGCUGUUAGGAAAACCUAAACGCACCCCCGGCGUUAUCGGGAUCGAGAUGCCUUUUCAAAGACAGCGGAUGCAGCAGGCAUGCUGCACUCAGAAGGAAAGGCAAUGAAGGUGGUACCGCGGAAGCAUAGUCUUUUCGUCCUUUAC
RNAcentral lists this non-coding RNA (249 nucleotides) under Bacillus sp. (in: firmicutes). Its description in RNAcentral is "Bacillus sp. T-box sequence". It matches the Rfam family "T-box leader". Rfam says of the family: Uncharged tRNA acts as the effector for transcription antitermination of genes in the T-box leader family. T-boxes are found upstream of many aminoacyl-tRNA synthetase genes and some amino acid biosynthetic genes usually in Gram-positive bacteria. The record is from RNAcentral. Lineage: Bacteria; Bacillati; Bacillota; Bacilli; Caryophanales; Bacillaceae.